RNAcentral lists this long non-coding RNA (303 nucleotides) under Elaeis guineensis (African oil palm). Its description in RNAcentral is "long non-coding RNA (EGUI_LNC003374)". Lineage: Eukaryota; Viridiplantae; Streptophyta; Magnoliopsida; Arecales; Arecaceae. The record is from RNAcentral.
CCAAUCAAGUGGGAGGCUUGGAGAGGUCAAAUAGGGAAGCCAAGACGAUGGUUGGGGUUUUGUGUUGGUUUUUCUUAUGUUUUCCCCAUUUGUCUUUUCUUUUUUCCAUCCUCAAGAGUCCCAACCAAGUGGGAGGCUUGGAGCGACCGAAUAGGGAAGCUAAGAUGAAGACGAUGGCUAGGGUUUUGUGUUGGUUUUUUUUCUUUUUUUCUUUUUAUUUCUUUCUCUUUUUUUUGAGAUCUAUGGGAAGGAAAGCACUUGAGGGAGAUUGGAGGGGAAGAUCGAUGCCAGUGACGAUGGAAA